RNAcentral lists this long non-coding RNA (367 nucleotides) under Felis catus (domestic cat). Its description in RNAcentral is "lncRNA (ENSFCAG00000050678.1)". The record is from RNAcentral. Lineage: Eukaryota; Metazoa; Chordata; Mammalia; Carnivora; Felidae.
GCACAGCCCCACCUUGGUGUGGGAGAGGUCACCCAUGCAGAGUGCCACCCAUCAAUGAGGGAAUAGUGAUGCCACUAUUAAAUGUGAUGUUUCAUGAAUGGUUCUUUUCACUUUCACAGCUGAACUAGCAGACAACCCUUAAGCUGAAGAAGCACCCAUCACUUAAGCUGAAGAAACAUGCAUCUCUUAAGGCUUGCAUCUUCCCUCUACCUCUAUACUCCAAGUUCCUGGCUGGCACUGGAAUUACAUCCUUAGCAUGGGCAUCACAACAUCUAGGUGAGAUUCAGGCUUGUUUCCAGUAAGAAACCCUGACAGAAAUUCAGAAGAACGGGAGCUGCGUUCCAUUAGGACUUGAAUACACGAAACG